GGGAGGGGAGGGGGACAGUCCCUAAGCCCGGACCCCCAUCCGGGGGGGUGGGAGGGAGCAUGGAGGUGGCGAGGCGGGGGCUGAUGGCCGGCGGUGCUUCCCGCAGCAGACAGACGAGGCGGCACAGACAGAGAGCCAGCAGCUACACUCCUCAGACAACACAGACAAGCAGCAGCCCAAGAGGUUACACGUCUCCAACAUCCCCUUCCGAUUCCGGGACCCCGACCUGCGGCAAAUGUUCGGGCAAUUCGGGAAGAUCCUGGAUGUGGAGAUCAUUUUCAAUGAGCGGGGCUCCAAGGUGGGUGCUGCCCGUGGCCGGUGCCGUUACAGGGAGGGGGUCAGGGGGAGCUGGGGUUCCUGGGGGCUCCUCUGCCUGCUCUCCCCUCCUCUCCUGCCCCACGGGAUCCAGGCACGGGGUAUCCCAUCCUGGGGCAGCCCUGUCCCGGCUGGGGGGGCUGUGCAGGUCCCUGUGCCCCGAGGGAGGGGAGGGCUGGCUCUGCCCCCCCGGCCCUGCACAGGCAGCUCAUGUCCCUCUGUGUGUGGAUGUCUCUGUUGUAUCUUCCCUGCUUUCUGUGCCCCUCUCCCAGACUCUUCUCCCAGCUGGUGGGCGAUGCUGGGGCCUCAGCCGGGACCCCCGGCGCCAGCGGGGGCCCUGACCCAGGCUCUCCAUCUCUGCACUGCGGCAGCCUCAUCUCCUGCGCCAGCUCUCCUGAUUCACCCCCUCUCUCUCUCUGUCCCCACACCCUCUCUCUGUCUCUCUCUCUCUCUCUCUCUGUCUCUUUCUUUCUCCUUUUCUCCUCUGCUCACAGGGUUUUGGGUUUGUAACUUUUGAAACUAGCACAGAUGCCGACCGGGCACGGGAGAAGCUGAAUGGCACCAUCGUAGAGGGCCGGAAGAUUGAGGUGCUCAGAUAAGUGUGCUAGUGCCAUGCCUGCGUGUGCGUGUGUCCCCUGCGCCCUGCCCGGGGGGCUGCAGGCAGGGCAGAGCCACCCCGGGGACCACGGGCAGGGGGAACGUUUUGGGGCAGCCCCAGGUCCCGCAUGUCCCGGGGGAGGCUGUUCCCGGCGCGUGCAUGCGUCCCUGAAUGUGGCACGGGAGCAUGUGUGCCCGCUGCCGGGGAGGUCGUCACUUGGCACAAGGAGCAUCCAGCUCAAAGGAGCCUCCUGCGUGCGGGGAGAGCGCGGCCCGGGCUCUGCCUGCGUUUUGCCCGGUUACAGAGGGGUCUGGUGGACCCCGGCUGCCCGCAGCCCCCCCUACCCACCACACAGCCCACCCUGGGCUCUGCAGGGAGGAGAGGGGCUCCCUGCUCCGCGUGCCGUCCCCACUCCCCUGCCCCGGGAGGCAUGGAUGCUGCGCAGGGCACCCGUGCCCGCUGUGCCAGCGGCUGCCGUGCUGCCUGGCCCCAGGAAUUCUGCUUCUUGGAGCCGGGCAGAGGGACCAGGCUCUGCCCGUUCACUGGCAGCACCUCGCUGAUCGGCGGCGAGCAGAGGGAAGGGGGCGGCACGUG
RNAcentral lists this long non-coding RNA (1507 nucleotides) under Calidris pygmaea (Spoon-billed sandpiper). RNAcentral describes it as "lncRNA (ENSCPGG00000001826.1)". Lineage: Eukaryota; Metazoa; Chordata; Aves; Charadriiformes; Scolopacidae. The record is from RNAcentral.